This is a non-coding RNA of Sitodiplosis mosellana (orange wheat blossom midge), 72 nucleotides long. Lineage: Eukaryota; Metazoa; Arthropoda; Insecta; Diptera; Cecidomyiidae. The record is from the annotation of a RefSeq genome assembly.
GCCCCAGUAGCGCAGUGGAAGCGCGUUGGACUUCUAAUCCAAAGGUCGCGGGUUCGAUCCCCGCCUGGGGUA